Molecule: RNA transcript, 3925 nt
Organism: Pogoniulus pusillus (Red-fronted tinkerbird)
Lineage: Eukaryota; Metazoa; Chordata; Aves; Piciformes; Lybiidae
Gene: GLCE
Gene name: glucuronic acid epimerase
Exons: 6
Source: RefSeq, a predicted model, not a curated record
UCUCGCGGGAAGUAGGGGCGGGGCUGGCCCUCCCGCUCCGUUCCCGGUGCUGGGACUCUGUCGCCCUCGCCUCCGUUGAGGGCGGCAGCUGCCCCGGAGGUUCCGCUGCUCGCCGCGUUCCUCCCGCCGUCCAUGUCGGUGGCUCACCGCAGGGAAUCAGGAGGGAACUCGCUUUCAAACCACCAACUGACGUCUUUCUGAAGUUGAAACAAAUCUGAGAUGCAUUAGAAUUCCAAGCCCUCCUUUUGCUUAAGGUAUGGUGUGAAUAUGCGUUGCUUGGCAGCUCGGGUCAACUACAAGACUCUGAUUGUCAUCUGUGCCCUCUUCACCUUGGUGAUGGUGCUGCUGUGGAACCGCUGCUCCUCGGACAGAGCCGGCCCCUUCCCCCGCAGCCCGGCGGGGCUGGAGCGCCGAGCCGCCGCCUCCGACAGCGACCCGGGCAGGCAGCAGAGCGAGGAGGCAUCGCCCCAGGAGCAGCAGAAGGCUCCUCCUGUCGCCGGCGGCUUCAACAACAAAGCCCCGGGGCUGAAGUAUGAGGAGAUCGACUGCCUGAUCAACGAUGAGCACACCAUUAAAGGCAGGAGGGAAGGCAACGAGGUCUUCCUGCCCUUCAGCUGGGUGGAGAAGUACUUUGAGGUGUACGGGAAGAUUGCUCAGUACGAUGGCUACGACAGGUUUGAGUUCUCUCAUAGCUACUCCAAAGUGUACACGCAGCGAGCACCUUACCACCCUGACGGGGUCUUCAUGUCCUUUGAGGGCUACAACGUGGAGGUUCGGGACAGAGUGAAGUGCAUAAGCGGAGUCGAAGGUGUGCCCUUGUCCACGCAGUGGGGCCCUCAGGGCUAUUUCUACCCCAUCCAGAUUGCACAGUAUGGCUUGAGCCACUACAGCAAGAACCUGACAGAGAAGCCACCUCACAUCGAGGUCUAUGAGACAGCUGAAGAGAAGGACAAAGGCAGCAGGGCUGCAGACUGGACGGUGCCAAAAGGCUGCUCCUUGUCCACGGUGACAGACAAAGCCAAGCUCACCAGCGUCAAGCAGUUCAUUGCACCAGAGCACACGGAGGGGGUGGCUCUGCAGCUGGGGAACAGCCGAGAUUUCAUCAUUUCUUUUGAUCUCAAGUUCACCACCAACGGCAGCAUCUCCGUGGUCCUGGAGACGACGGAGAAGAACCAGCUCUUCACCGUGCACUACGUCUCCAACACCCAGCUCAUCGCUUUCAAGGACAGAGACAUCUACUACGGCAUCGGGCCCAGGACUAGCUGGAGCACCCUCACCAGGGACCUGGUCACCGACCUGCGGAAGGGCGUUGGCCUCUCCAACACAAAAGCUGUGAAGCAGACCAAAAUCAUGCCCAAGAGAGUGGUGAGGCUGGUAGCCAAGGGUAGAGGCUUCCUCGAUAACGUCACCAUCUCGGCCACCGCUCACAUGGCAGCUUUCUUCGCUGCCAGCAACUGGCUGGUGAGGAACCAGGACGAGCGGGGUGGCUGGCCCAUCAUGGUGACGAGGAAGCUGGGGGAAGGCUUCAAGUCCUUGGACCCGGGCUGGUACUCAGCCAUGGCUCAGGGCCAGGCCAUCUCCACCUUGGUGCGGGCCUACCUGCUGACGAAGGAGCAGACGUUCCUGAGCUCGGCUCUGCGGGCCACGGCGCCCUACAAGCUGCCAUCAGAGCAGCGCGGGGUGAAGGCUGUCUUCAUGAACCGCCACGACUGGUACGAGGAGUACCCCACCUCGCCCAGCUCCUUCGUGCUCAACGGCUUCAUGUACUCCUUAAUCGGGCUUUAUGACUUAAAAGAAACAGCUGGGGAGAAGCUGGGGCGGGAGGCCCGCGUCCUCUACGAGCGGGGCAUGGAGUCCCUGAAGGCCAUGCUCCCCCUCUACGACACCGGCUCAGGGACCAUCUACGACCUUCGGCACUUCAUGCUCGGCACCGCUCCCAACCUGGCCCGCUGGGACUAUCACACCACCCACAUCAACCAGCUCCAGCUCCUCAGCACCAUAGAUGAGUCGCCCAUCUUCAAAGAGUUCGUCAGGAGGUGGAAGAGCUACCUGCGAGGCGGGCGGGCAAAGCACAACUAGAGCCUGCGCCCAGAGCCCUGGCGCCCGCCGCCUCGCCCAGCCACCGCGCCCCGGCUCCCAGCCCACCUUCGCUUCGGUUCUUCUAACUGACUCUCUCAAAAGAAGUGAUCCUUAAAACUGAUCUCCGGAUGAAAUCAUUGCAUUCCAGUGAGGGAAAUCGUUUGGGUUCGAGGGGUGGGAGCUGAGAACUUCACCUGUCCUUGGUGCCCCACAGCAAAACGAUCUGCACAAAGCCAAACCUCUUUGUGCUCUCGAGUUUGAAGGCCGGGGAUGGGGUGGGGGGGGUGGGGGAUGGAUUCUUGGCUUUGGAGUUUUGUUUUUAACUUCUUUUGUUUCCCCUAGGAAAAGAUUUGCAGAAGCCAUACAGGUCUCUUAAGAAAAAACCCAACAAACAAAACCCAACAGAAAGUUCAGCACUUAACUUGCCUGAACAAGAUUGAAGCUGACUUUUUGAUGCCUUGAUCUUACCCAAGGCGUGCUGCAGUCACGUCAGUCAGUGAGAAGUGGAUGUCCCAGCAGAAAGUUCAAUACCAAAGGUAGCAGAGGUGACUUUGUGGUGUGGUGUUUUUCUCACGUGCCCACCUGUAUACGCACACACAAUCCCCACACAAAUGUGCUUCCUUCCCCAGCUGGUCCUUGCUGCAGGCACACAAACAGCUUUCUCCUGCCUAUUUCCACCAUCUUUUGCCUUUUUGGCGUGUGGAGAAGCUGGAGAGACUCUAGGUAGUGCUCAAGAGAUGGUAUUGGUGCCUUACAGAGGCCACAACUGCCCCUUUGACUAUUUCUUGACUAAUGCUGUUGAGAAGUCAUGGUGGUGUUGCUCAUGCAGUGCUUUGGGACAGCCAAUCUGGUUGGCUCUUCGUUGGAUGGGUGAGCUUAGAAGUGUUGGAUGGAUAAGCUUAGAAGUGUUGCUUGGCCAUGCCAACGUCACUGGUCCUGCCAGAUCACCUUAUCCCUACCCCCUUUGUGGAGGUGGCCAGUGCCUCGAGCAACCUGGUUUAGUGGAAGGUGCCCCUGCCCAUGGCAGGGGGGUUGGAACUGGAUGAUCUUUAAGGUAUCCUCCAACUUAUGAAUCUGUGAAUCCUUACCAUCACCCUUAUGCUUCAGUUGGCCUUAGCACACAUUGGCCUUCACCCAGUCACCACUGAGAUUGUGGAGCUGAAGAGACUUCAUGUGGGGUUUCUUCCAUCGUUGUUUUUCAUUGAGUUGAGCAGCAGAAGAGGGUUAUUGGAUGCUGGUGCCCUUAACUUCAUCGAGAUCACUUCAGUUGGGGAUUUUAUUUUGCUUUGUUCUCAGCCUUCAAACUGACAAAGGUCUUAGGGUCUAAGAUCUUUCCCAUCUUCUUGUACAUAGACGUGAUGGGGAGUGUGGUGCAUGUAGGUGUACACCAACCAGUAGCACACAAGCACAACCAUCCAGACGUGGCAGUGCUGUUUCUCUUGAGCCACCAUUCAAGACACUGAUGGAAAGCUGCUAUAUUCCUUCACCUUCUCGUGGUUAUCUUCUGUCUUUUAUCUUUCUUUUUGUUUUGUGUGUGUGUGAUUUUUCUUUUGUUUGGUUUUUUUUUUUUUGGUCACAUGUGGGCUCUAGACCAUGUGUUAAAUAUGCAAUAACUUGUUUACAGGAUGCUCUGGUAAAGGGUGGUCCUUUGUGAAGCUGUACAGACUUUGCAGUUCAAGCACAAUGUGCACACGUUAGUUUUCUAUACGGCCAGAGGUGACUUUUUGCAGCGGGAGAGGUUCUACUAUGUUUCUACACAGAGUUAAAUGGCUUCAGCCUUUGUGCUUCAUGGAAAAGCUGCUUUCUAUGACUGUAAAAUAAAGGUUUUUUAUCAUAAGAGAUACAA